RNAcentral lists this long non-coding RNA (416 nucleotides) under Homo sapiens (human). Its description in RNAcentral is "HSALNT0357682". The record is from RNAcentral. Lineage: Eukaryota; Metazoa; Chordata; Mammalia; Primates; Hominidae.
GAAGCUUGAGUGCCCAAGGGUUUGAUAAAUGUGGAAAAUAACCGCUGUUCGAAUAUCCUGUUGGCCUGCUGGUGAGAUGUCAUCGUGUUGUCUGAAUGCAAAGAAAUGACUGGCUGAGGCUGUAAAGAAAUCUUGUGGUCAUUCUCAUGGAAAGAGGAUUGGAGCCCCGAUUCUUUGAUCUCAUUAUUGACCAGUUGAUUGAGAAGACUGUCCUCCUGUCCCCACCCAAUCACAAUAAGUGGGCUAGAGUGCAGCAUCGUGGUCUCAGCUCACCGAAACCUUGCCUCCCAGGUUCAAGCGAUUCUCCUGCCUCAGCCUUCCAAGUAGCUGGGAUUACAGACAUCCACCACCACCGUGUCAGGUUAAUUUUUGUAUUUUUAGUAGAGAAUGGGGUUUCACCAUUUUGGACAGGCUGG